This 440-nucleotide ribosomal RNA is filed under the name uncultured bacterium. RNAcentral's name for it is "partial 16S ribosomal RNA". It matches the Rfam family "Bacterial small subunit ribosomal RNA", at positions 338 to 795 of the family's 1533-position model. The record is from RNAcentral.
CCUACGGGUGGCAGCAGUGGGGAAUAUUGCACAAUGGGGGAAACCCUGAUGCAGCGACGCCGCGUGAGUGAAGAAGUAUUUCGGUACGUAAAGCUCUAUCAGCAGGGAAGAAAAUGACGGUACCUGACUAAGAAGCCCCGGCUAACUACGAGCCAGCAUCCGCGGUAAUACGUAGGGGGAAAGCGUUAUCCGGAAUUACUGGGUGUAAAGGGAGCGUAGACGGGAGCGCAAGUCUGAAGUGAAAUCCCAUGGCUUAACCAUGGAACUGCUUUGGAAACUGUGCAGCUGGAGUGCAGGAGAGGUAAGCGGAAUUCCUAGUGUAGCGGUGAAAUGCGUAGAUAUCUGGAGGAACAUCAGUGGCGAAGGCGACUAUCUGACACAUAACUGACGCUGAGGAGCGAAAGCGUGGGUAGCAAACAGGAUUAGAUACCCUGGUAGUC